Molecule: long non-coding RNA, 425 nt
Filed under: Glycine max (soybean)
Lineage: Eukaryota; Viridiplantae; Streptophyta; Magnoliopsida; Fabales; Fabaceae
Description: long non-coding RNA (GMAX_LNC002058)
Source: RNAcentral
GAAGCUUUGUUUUUUCUGCGACAAGUUAUACGAAAAACAAGACACGGCUUGCACCACACACCAAAAUCAAUUAUACAAAAUUCUGAAGAAACACACAACCAUUAUUACUUUCCAUUGAGCCAAAGCUUUAUUUUUUUUUGCAAUAAAUUUUCAUUGGGUGGAAGAAAGUCUCAACCUUUAGUCGAAAGAGCAAGGAUCUGAGGAAUCCUGUGGUAGUGCGAUUAUCUACUCCACACCCCCUCACUCCUUCAUGGCACGCCCACCCGCCGCCACCAUCUCCUCCUUCUCCGACGUUGUCGCCUGCAUCUCCUUUCGCUCCGACGUGAAGUCCCGCACCCCGCUCCGCCGCUCCAACGAAAAACCAAUAAUUAUAAUAUUUUUUAUAGGUUCAAAAAAAUAAGAGUGUCCAAUGUAAUAAAAGCAAA